Molecule: unclassified non-coding RNA, 329 nt
Filed under: Hevea brasiliensis (rubber tree)
Lineage: Eukaryota; Viridiplantae; Streptophyta; Magnoliopsida; Malpighiales; Euphorbiaceae
Source: RNAcentral
GCUCAGAGCUCCUCUUUCCCUCAGGUGAUUUGGUGAUUCCUUUCUUUUGCUUUUUAUCUCAUUCUGAUCCUUCCACCAAUGUCAUUAUAGCGUAGCUGAUUCGAUUCAUUUCUGUGACAAUUUGGAUUCUCAUGCGAUUGAUCUCGUUGAUUAUUUUUGAAUCUGGAUUCUGGAAGAAUGUGCUUUGAUUUACAUGGCGUUUGAUCUGUUUCGUUAGUUGAAUCAUUGCGAUAAUUGGUGUUUGCUUGUUGAUUUUUUAUUGGAGGAGAGCGUGUAAUGUUAAGAUUUUCAAAGCAAAAUUCGUAAAGAAGCUGAUCUUAGAUCCCAAA